UGAACUGACAGGAAUCACGAAAAUCUUAUUUGUUAUGAAAAACUAUAUAAUUCUCCUUAACCUUUGUAAAAUGUGUAAUUUUUUUAAUUCUUAUAAUUUGGAACAUUUUUGAAAAACAGAGUUAGAACCACUUUAGUUCCUAAAUUCAAAAAUAUAUGCAGCAAAUAAGAAUACUUUCUCCCCCCUACACGAGUAGAAAAGAUGUGAUAAAGAUCUUCCGACUAUCUCCGUACUUCAUUUCUAGUCUUUAUGACAGGGCAAAAAGCAUUGUGUCCUUGGCAGAUAAACCUCGUGCUUGAUAGUCAUAACGAAUUGCAAAAGCUUUGCAAUUUGGCGUGAACGUUGGAUGGCGCUUAAUUUUCAAAUAUUGUAACCCGACUUCAAUCUUUUUCUCUUGUAUUCUUAUCAAGGGAUAUUUGACAAUAGGAAGUCUUUUUUUUUUUUUUUUUUUUUUUUUUUUUUCAAUUUUUGAAACAGUCACGGAAAUAAAUGCUUUCAUCGAAAGAAGCAAUAGAUCAAACUGAUUUUGUAAGGCACGCUCAAACUCAAAGUGGAUGCAGGCAUAAUGCACAAUCUAAAAACAAUUACCAGAGCACAUUAUUUUUAACGUAAGAUUACGUUCCUCCAUAAUGGCCUGAUGGAAAAGUAAAAAUUAAGAUUCCAAAUUGAGUUACAGCCAAACUGUGAAAAAUUAAAAAUAGAAAAUAAAACAGAAAAACUACUCAAGAAAGAUAAAUUCAGGACAAAUAAGAAUGAAACGUUUUGAAAGUGGAGCUGUGGAACGUAAAAACUCGAUGGAAAAGAGGAAAUCUAUUGAUAAAUUACGAAAGCUGACCCAGCUGAAUUUUGUAUUAAAAUUAACACAAAUUCUGCAUCUAUAUCUACCACUACCACUUCUACCAGUAUAUCCAACAAUACAACUUGAAGUUGAAGGACAAGGACGGCGAGAAACCGACUUUUUAAGUGUUCAAGAAGAAACAAUAAGACCUACUGAAAUAAAUACAAUAACUGAUGAGGUCAUGGACGCUUCAAGUAUUUUUCUUGAAAGUCCAGAUCCAGGGUUGUGACCAUCAUAUAUCGACAAGAAUUUACAGUCGUACUAUAUUGAGAAAAGUCCGUCAGUUUGUUCCAACAAAUAUCUUAAUUUUGAAAAAUCAGCACAUAUAUACAACGAAUGAAAUGCUAAAACUAAAACAAGAUACCUUUCUGAGAUGUUGUUCAAGGAAGAGCUACGUAAUGGUAAGGCUGUAGACCACGAAUAGCUAAUAUAUUCUCCAUCAUAAGCAAAUGUAUGCUGUUUCGUAUGCAAAUUGUUUUCAUCUACCAAAUAUACAUUCAACACUAGCGAAUUCAGUGACUGGAAGCAUGCAAGUACGGUUACUUCACGACAUGAAAAGUCACCUGAACGCAGAAAGUGUAUGAUGCGCUACCACAGUCGUUUACAAUUAAUCUAGUCGAGCAGGCAGCUAACUUAUCAUACAUUUACUACAGGCAAUGUUAUUUAUUAAUUUACUACAGGCAAGACCCAAAAUAGCGAAACAAUAACAUUGUUACGGUUUUUAUAUUGAUUUAUUUAGUUUACUAUUUUUAAUAGAAUUGUUAUUAAAUUGUUUCAUUUCCUCGUGCAGUGCUGCACUCGACUUAUUUGAAGAGAAAGCUAUGCAGGAAAAAUUAAAAAUAGAGGAGCACGCGCAUUUAAUUAAAUAGAUAUCUCGUAAUCGCACGCUUUUGCUUUUCGGGAAAAUUCGAGAAAAUACCAGAAUAUGCUCGUGUGUGAUUUAAAAAGAUUAUAAAAGGAGGAAAGCCUCUCAAUUAGUUAGCUGUUUUAUGAGUUUAGUUUAUAAAACUGCUGUUGUUUACUGUAGCGAAUUCGCGGUGACAAUCGGAUUAGUUUUCUUUACGUUUCUCUGUUUUGAAUGAAGUUCUGUUGAGCGUUUAAGUAGUUUGAAAGUAACUACUGUGAGAUAUUGCAAAAUUGCACGAAUAUCUGAGAAAAUAAGCAUCUUAUUUUAUUUGUAGUGAUAAUAAUAAAUUUUUAUUC
Long non-coding RNA from Stegodyphus dumicola, 2041 nucleotides. RefSeq lists it as uncharacterized. The record is from RefSeq and is a predicted model, not a curated record. NCBI's taxonomy places the organism in Eukaryota, Metazoa, Arthropoda, Arachnida, Araneae, Eresidae.